GUUGAUGUAGCUUAACAAAAUAAAGCAAAGCACUGAAAAUGCUUAGAUGAGCAUUCAAUGCUCCAUAAACA
RNAcentral lists this transfer RNA (71 nucleotides) under Murina ussuriensis (Ussurian tube-nosed bat). RNAcentral's name for it is "tRNA-Phe". It matches the Rfam family "tRNA". Rfam says of the family: Transfer RNA (tRNA) molecules are approximately 80 nucleotides in length. Their secondary structure includes four short double-helical elements and three loops (D, anti-codon, and T loops). The record is from RNAcentral. Lineage: Eukaryota; Metazoa; Chordata; Mammalia; Chiroptera; Vespertilionidae.